UCAGCGUUGCAGAAAGGGAGGAGAGUGGGAAGGGAGGGAGGCACCCUCCGUCAGCAGGGAGGGUGAACAACGGGGACCGAGUCUACACGUCACUGCCCAGGGCCUAGAUCCCGCGUCCCCAGAGCUGAGCACCCAACCCCAAAGGUUCUGCCACCCUUACCUCGAUAAUUGCUUUCCAGUUCAGGAAAGGGGUGUUGUGUUUGAAAUCCUGGAGGGAGGAGAAGAGCCUCUGCCAGAACUCAGGACCUCAGGACCAGGACCUGUCCCCAGAACUUCCUGCCUUUUUACCUUCCCUUCCGCCUCCAGCCCAUUUCCCAAAGCUGAGAGCUGCGCUCUGAUCCUUCCAGACGCCCCCCUCCCGCACCCUGGGGAACAACAGUGGAGACGUAAGAAAGGAGCAGAGACCAGGAGUGUGGGGCAGCUAAGGUUUAUUUCGAGGGUAAGGGUUGAGGUUAACGGUGGGAUAGCGAUGUUUUAGGAAGGGAUGGGAGGGGGGCUCCCGUCCAUCUGGUAGCUCCUUGUCUGGAGGUCACGGGGUAUGAAAGCUCCUCUGGUCCUGGGCAGAGAAAUAAGUUCUAAGAGGGAGCUCAAGGAAUAGGAAUCAGGCCGUAGUGGGCCACGUCAGGGGUGGAUCGGGCUUCCGCUGCUGAAAUCCGCAGGGAUCCUUUUGCCCACGGCUGUCAUCCAGUCAAAUCUGGAUAUUCCAGUUGGGCUUGAAAACCUCAUACGUGCCAAGAACUGUUACGUAUGUUCUCCUUGUCGUCACUGGUCAGUCUGGCCCUCCUUGUGAAGGAGAUGGGCUCUCUGUUCUCUUCUCUGCCCAUCUCUGUCCUGCCCUUCUUCCUAGACCUGCUCCUGGGGAAGCCACCCCAGAUGGACCCUGCCUAACUGGGAGCGCUCUCCUUUUACUGGCCCCCUAGAUGUGUAAGAAUGUCGACUGCCUUCCAGGCCCCGGGGAAGUAUGAGCAUGUGCCCCUGGGCCUAAGUUCCCCGUGAUAGGGGUUGGGGGUUGGGGGGGGAGGGGGCUGUUUCUCUAUAAAACAGAAACAGUCCAUUUGCUCCUGCGGUUCAUCCAAACCCGAACCGCGCUGCCGCGGGGACCUUCUGCCUCCUGUAUCUUUCACUGUCCCACCUUAUUCCCCAGGGGGCAGACUUGGACUUGCUGAGGGCGGGGCUCUGUCCUCGCCUCCCUGCCUACCGCCACCGCCACCUCGGUUCCCCUGCCAGUUUUAGAGGUUAGGGGCCCUCGCCUUGUUUCUGUUGUUACAGGUCAGGAACUCGGAGACUGUGACAGGCAGGGGGCCUGUGGCUCCUGGAGAACAAGCCCCUCCCACCCCCCCCCCCCCCCCCCCCCCCACACACACAAGAAGCAGUGGCCACUCAGCUCUUGUCUCUGGGAGCUCGAGGAAAGAGGGGCCCCGCGUUGCCACAUUUUUCAGAAGCCGGAAUUCCAAGUCAUUUUGUAAAAUCUCUCAGUUUUUAAACUUUGGCAACUAGUUCAUAAUGCUUUAAAAAAAAAAAAAAAAAAAAAAAGAA
Molecule: long non-coding RNA, 1536 nt
Organism: Neofelis nebulosa (Clouded leopard)
Lineage: Eukaryota; Metazoa; Chordata; Mammalia; Carnivora; Felidae
Exons: 2
Source: RefSeq, a predicted model, not a curated record